UGGGCAGACGUUAGGGUUGCAGACUUCUGUUUAUCCACAGGACAGACAAUGGCUGUGCAAGCUUCCCCCGCUGUGUCCUUGCCAGCAUGCAUCAACCCUGCUCUGGAAGUGCCUCAUCUCUGCGGGUGAGAUGGGAGAUUGGCCUUCAUGGCCCAUUCCCUCCUUGGCCUCU
This is an unclassified non-coding RNA of Chelonoidis abingdonii (Abingdon island giant tortoise), 172 nucleotides long. The record is from Ensembl. Lineage: Eukaryota; Metazoa; Chordata; Testudines; Testudinidae.